UACGGAAGGCAGCAGUGGGGAAUAUUGCACAAUGGGCGAAAGCCUGAUGCAGCUAUGCCGCGUGUAUGAAGAAGGCCUUAGGGUUGUAAAGUACUUUCAUCGGGGAGGAAAAACAAAACUAAUAAUUUUAUUUCUUGACGUUACCCGAAAAAGAAGCACCGGCUAACUCCGUGCCAGCAGCCGCGGUAAUACGGAGGGUGCUAGCGUUAAUCAGAAUUACUGGGCGUAAAGAGCACGUAGGUGGUUUUUUUAAGUCAGAUGUGAAAUCCCUGGGCUUAACCUGGAACUGCAUUUUGAAACUGAAAUACUAGAGUAUCGUAGAGGGAGGUAGAAUUCUAGGUGUAGCGGUGAAAUGCGUAGAUAUCUGGAGGAAUACCUGUGGCGAAAGCGGCCUCCUAAACGAAUACUGACACUGAGGUGCGAAAGCGUGGGGAGCAA
This 438-nucleotide ribosomal RNA is filed under the name uncultured bacterium. RNAcentral describes it as "bacterial SSU rRNA". It matches the Rfam family "Bacterial small subunit ribosomal RNA", at positions 340 to 771 of the family's 1533-position model. The record is from RNAcentral.